CAUUAGGGUGUGCAUCCUAAAGCACAAACACACGCCGUGUGUGUGUAUGUAUAUAUAUAUAUAUAUAUAUAUACACACACACACACACACACACGGCGUGUGUUUGUGCUUUAGGAUGCACACC
Molecule: non-coding RNA, 124 nt
Organism: Pelobates cultripes (western spadefoot toad)
Lineage: Eukaryota; Metazoa; Chordata; Amphibia; Anura; Pelobatidae
Source: the annotation of a GenBank genome assembly